RNAcentral lists this transfer RNA (84 nucleotides) under Microcaldota archaeon. RNAcentral's name for it is "tRNA-Leu". It matches the Rfam family "tRNA". Rfam says of the family: Transfer RNA (tRNA) molecules are approximately 80 nucleotides in length. Their secondary structure includes four short double-helical elements and three loops (D, anti-codon, and T loops). The record is from RNAcentral. Lineage: Archaea; Nanobdellati; Microcaldota.
GCAGGGGUAGCGAAGUGGUCAAACGCGUCAGGUUCAGGGCCUGAUCGGUUAGUCCGUUCAAGAGUUCAAAUCUCUUCCCCUGCA